RNAcentral lists this ribosomal RNA (476 nucleotides) under uncultured bacterium. RNAcentral's name for it is "partial 16S ribosomal RNA". It matches the Rfam family "Bacterial small subunit ribosomal RNA", at positions 28 to 523 of the family's 1533-position model. The record is from RNAcentral.
AAUGAACGUUGGCGGCGUGGAUUAGGCAUGCAAGUCGAGCGGGUGUAGCAAUACACCAGGGGCGAAAGGGAGAGUAAUACGUGGGUACCUGCCCUCGGACCUGGGAUAGCUUCGGGAAACUGAAGGUAAUACCAGAUAACGUCUCCGGACCAAAGGUGUGAUUCCGUCCGGGGAGGGGCCCGCGUCCUAUUAGCUAGUUGGUGAGGUAACGGCUCACCAAGGCGAAGAUGGGUACGAGGCGUGAGAGCGUGUCCUAGCUCACUGGGACUGAGACACUGCCCAGACACCUACGGGUGGCUGCAGUCGAGAAUCUUCGGCAAUGGGCGCAAGCCUGACCGAGCGACGCCGCGUGCGGGAUGAAGGCCUUCGGGUUGUAAACCGCUGUCAGUAGGGAGGAACGGUCUGGGGGUUCUCCCCCAGAUUUGACCUAUCUGCAGAGGAAGGACGGGCUAAGUUCGUGCCAGCCGCCGCGGUAA